GUUCCCUUCAAGCACUUCAGG
RNAcentral lists this microRNA (21 nucleotides) under Aegilops tauschii. RNAcentral describes it as "ata-miR395a-5p". Its record names the gene ata-miR395a-5p. The record is from miRBase by way of RNAcentral. Lineage: Eukaryota; Viridiplantae; Streptophyta; Magnoliopsida; Poales; Poaceae.